GCACUGCUGAAGAGUCCCAUAAUAGGACGAAAUGGCCGUCCAGUGC
Schistosoma mansoni is the source of this 46-nucleotide non-coding RNA. The record is from Rfam. Lineage: Eukaryota; Metazoa; Platyhelminthes; Trematoda; Strigeidida; Schistosomatidae.